GAUGAACGCUGGCGGCGUGCCUAACACAUGCAAGUCGAGCGGACAGACGCGGCUUUUGCUUGUCUGCCGUGUGGGGCGGGCGGGUGAUUCACACGAGUAUCCCUCCCCUUUCAGACUGAGAUCAGCACGGGACAGCGGAUAUCACACCGGAUAAUAUGUUGAACCACGGGGUUCUUUGGAGAACGACGGCUUUGCUGUCCCUACUCGCUGCUUCCGGGCCGUUUUGGCUAGUUGGUAGGGUAACGGCUUACCAAGGCUACGCUGCGUGGGCGAACUGAGAGGAGGAUCGGCCACACUGGAACUGAGACACGGUCCAGACUCCUACGGGAGGCAGCAGUAGGGAAUCUUACGCAAUGGGCGAAAGCCUGACGGAGCAACGCCGCGUGUGUGAAGAAGGUCUUCGGAGCGUAAAGCUCUGUUAGUAGGGAAGAACAGAUGUGUAAGGAACCAUGGACGUCUUGACGGUACCGAAUCAGAAAGCCCCGGCUAACUACGUG
Molecule: ribosomal RNA, 497 nt
Filed under: uncultured bacterium
Lineage: Bacteria
Description: partial 16S ribosomal RNA
Rfam family: Bacterial small subunit ribosomal RNA
Source: RNAcentral